Molecule: transfer RNA, 72 nt
Filed under: Proschkinia sp. SZCZR1824
Lineage: Eukaryota; Bacillariophyta; Bacillariophyceae; Naviculales; Stauroneidaceae
Description: tRNA-Glu
Rfam family: tRNA
About the family: Transfer RNA (tRNA) molecules are approximately 80 nucleotides in length. Their secondary structure includes four short double-helical elements and three loops (D, anti-codon, and T loops).
Source: RNAcentral
GUCCCUAUCGUCUAAAGGUUAGGACAUUGACCUUUCACGUCAAAAAUAUGGGUUCAAAUCCCAUUGGGGACA